RNAcentral lists this long non-coding RNA (1034 nucleotides) under Macaca fascicularis (crab-eating macaque). RNAcentral's name for it is "lncRNA (ENSMFAG00000060314.1)". Lineage: Eukaryota; Metazoa; Chordata; Mammalia; Primates; Cercopithecidae. The record is from RNAcentral.
AACUGUGGCAUUGAUUGUCUUGACACCUCCACUGAAAUGUCUAUUUAAGAUUUUUCAUAUGAUGUGUUACAUGUGGCUACAUGGCCAAUUCGUGGGCUGCGUUGCAGGCUGCUCACUUCUACCAUACCAUAUUGCUUCUCAUUGGAAACUCACCUUCAACAACUGGUCCAUUUUCUCCCCGACCCCUUCAAAACACUGUUGGACAGUCAUACCAUAAUGGAAGCAGCAUGAUAUGGAAAGAAACUUCCCAGAUUUUUCGUCUAUAAGUCACUUUCUUCUACUAUAGUAAUUCUGAGAUUGAAAAAGUUCUAUCAUGAAGUUCUGUGUAGGAGACAGCUAUGGUUCUUAUCAGUCUCAAGGGAGUGACUCCUUUUUGAGACUGGGCACUUUAAAUUACAUCCAUUGAUGCCUCCACUUUAUAGCCCUUUAACAUAAUAUUUUAAUGUAGAUGAUUUAUGAAAUAUCAGUUGCACCUCUGGAGUAUGCUGGAAUUAAAUGCCAUUUAGAGUCUUUUCCUAUGAUGACAUUAUGCCACUCUAGACCUUUUCUCUGUAAAAUCGCUUCUCUUUUUUAGUAUCUGCUGUAAAUUUUAUGAUUGAUUGCAGAUAUUUGUCUGCAGGGCCCAAAGCCCAUACACUUCUUUCUCGUGUUGCAUUCCUUAUUAGGUCACCCAAAAAUAACAGUGCCAAAAGCCGUUAUGAAGACAGACAUUUAAAGGAAUUUUAGGGUGAAGCUCAUGAAAAGAAGGAGCUACAUAAUAUGCUCUGCUUAGUGUUUCACUUUCUCUAAACUCAAAUAGUCUUCUUUUUAUAACAUGGGUAAAAGAGAGGGCAAAUUAAACUUUCUCACCACUAUUAAACAUUACAAGUUACAGAUGUAUUUCAACUGGGCAUCAUUAAUAUGUCAUAAAUUAUUUAAAUUCGCUUUCCCUUCUUAGAAAUGGCAAGGAAAUCACAUACAUACACACACAGACACACACACGCACAGCCCCAAAAUGGCAGUGAAUUCAUAUCACUAAGUAGAAUUCCCCAAUA